ACUCAAUAGAUACCCAGGUAGUCCACGCCCUAAACGAUGUCUACUAGUUGUCGGGUCUUAAUUGACUUGGUAAACGCAGCUAAACGCGUGAAGUAGACCGCCUGGGGAGUACGGUCGCAAGAUUAAAACUCAAAGGAAUUGACGGGGACCCGCACAAGCGGUGGAUGAUGUGGAUUAAAUUCGAUGCAACGCGAAAAACCUUACCUACCCUUGACAUGGAUGGAAUCCCUGAGAGAUUGGGGAGUGCUCGAAAGAGAACCAUUACACAGGUGCUGCAUGGCUGUCGUCAGCUCGUGUCGUGAGAUGUUGGGUUUAAAGUCCCGCAACGAGCGCAACCCUUGUCAUUAGUUGCUACGAAAGGGCACUCUAAUGAGACUGCCGGUGACAAACCGGAGAAGGUGGGAUGACGUCAAGUCCUCAU
This 421-nucleotide ribosomal RNA is filed under the name uncultured bacterium. RNAcentral's name for it is "bacterial SSU rRNA". It matches the Rfam family "Bacterial small subunit ribosomal RNA", at positions 772 to 1196 of the family's 1533-position model. The record is from RNAcentral.